AGUACGUGAAACUGCUUAGGGAUUAAGCCUGAUGAAUCUGAAUAUCUAUUAUGGGAAAUUCAUCGUUAAUUAUAUUAAUAUUUAUAUUAUAAUUAUAAUAUAAUAUAUUAUAUAAACGGCGUGCAUUUUUUCCAUAAAAUGACAUUGUAAUCGGUUAAUAAAAUAGAAAAUCUAUCAAAAAAUUUAUUAAUAGAGUUUAUUCUAAUUAAAUUUUUUUAAAAUUGAAUAAAUUUAAUAAAUAUGAUAGAUUGUUGACUGAUUUAAUUAUAUAAUAAUGUAUGAAAUUUCUUUAUGAAAUUUUUACAAUUAAUUAUUGGUUUUUUCUUAAUAAUUAUAUUGUAAUGCAUUUUUAUUAUUUACAAUGAUAAAAAAUUCAGAAUACCUUCGGGACCCGUCUUGAAACACGGACCAAGGAGUCUAACAUAUGUGCAAGUCGUUGAGUUUAUAAUUAUGAAAACUCAAAGGCAUAAUUAACUUAACUGUUUUUAAAAUGGGAUCAGUUUAUAUAUAUUUUUAAUAAGAUAAAUAAAUGAAUUCAAUCCCAGGGCGUUUCAUAUAGUUAUGCAUAUUAAUAUUUAUAUUAUUUAUGCCUCUAACUGGAGC
This 603-nucleotide ribosomal RNA is filed under the name Microdon sp. 1 XM-2008. Its description in RNAcentral is "partial 28S ribosomal RNA". The record is from RNAcentral. Lineage: Eukaryota; Metazoa; Arthropoda; Insecta; Diptera; Syrphidae.